Toxorhynchites rutilus septentrionalis is the source of this 679-nucleotide long non-coding RNA. RefSeq lists it as uncharacterized. The transcript is spliced from 3 exons. NCBI's taxonomy places the organism in Eukaryota, Metazoa, Arthropoda, Insecta, Diptera, Culicidae. The record is from RefSeq and is a predicted model, not a curated record.
UAGCCAUCAAAGUUAAAUUGGUACGGUAAAGGAAUUGAAAGUUUAAAUAUACGGAAAGUCUUUGUAGUAUUCCAAGUGAAAAUAUCAGCGAAUCGAAAUUUCGCAGAAGCUAAAAGCAGAAUACACUGUACACACGCACAGAAUAGGAGAUUUAUUGAAGAUCCGGGUGACGAGUUAACGAAACCCACAAAACGAGAUUUUUAACCGUUCAACCUCGAGCGGUUCCGAAUAAACGAGUUGAAUUUCCGGAAGUUGGUUUCCUUUCGUUGCGAAAGCAACACAAAGAAUAUGAGAUAUAGGAAAACUUGAAAUCCCAGAACCCUUAUCCUCUGGUAACUAUCUAGAUUCUAGAAGGUCGUACAUUAUUCUCUUCAAAAGACCCUAAAAACAAGCUACAACUGUAUGAAAUGUAAAAAAUAUGUUUGUCUCGAUCAUGACGUUAUAACAUGCUCUGAUUCUUUUACUAAUGAAAUCUAAAUCGAUAAAUACGUUUUUAUGUUAUAUAAUAGCUCUUUCUACUUUCAUGAAUUAUAUUCAGUUGCUUACUUUCAAUUAAUAACAGGAAAAAAGACGGGUGGGUAAUGUCGGGGACAUAACCGGAGUGACGUAGGACUAUACAAAGGGGACAGCUUUUGCUAAAUAUAUAUUUUAAAUAUAUUGUUUUAUUUUCUUCUCCUAC